AGCAUGCUCCGUUGAGCUCUACGCUUACCUGCAUCAGAGAGAGGAACAGAGCGGUAGAAAGACGUUUUGGAGGCUGGCACCAACAGAGGGAAGAAUUAAAUAACGCUGUUGCAAAGGAUGGAAAAGGCUCAGAGGUGAUGCGAUGGCUCCAGGGGUGCUGACCUAUCCUUGCCCCACGUGGGGCUGCUGAGCAUCGUGCAGCUCUUGGUGCUGCUGCUGUGUGCACUCAGGUGCCAGCUCUGCCAAACCUUCUGCUGUCCUGUCCUCAUACCAUGUGUCCUCAUCAAAAAAAAACAGUGCAGCAAAACACAACAAGCAGUGUUAAAAAUGUGUUGCAGAUGUGGUAGUAACUCCCGGUUGCAAUAGGCAGAUGACUGUUUUUUCCUUGUUUCUGUCCUAAUAUUGGGUCCAGCUGAGACCAGGGUUUUACAUGUAACUACAGUGUCCCUGCCCUGCAGGUCAGGCACUGGUGAAACACAUGUCGGAAGAGAUGAAGAAACUUGUUCGGCAGCACGUGGUGCAGUCAGCGCCCUUCCCGUCUCCCAGAACCCCAACUCAUGGAGGCAGAACCAUCCUGUAGUUCUCUACCACAGAGAUCAUUUUGCUCUCAGACCUUCUGCUGACCCUGAACGACUUUUG
This 639-nucleotide long non-coding RNA is filed under the name Gallus gallus (chicken). RNAcentral describes it as "long non-coding RNA NONGGAT004706". Lineage: Eukaryota; Metazoa; Chordata; Aves; Galliformes; Phasianidae. The record is from RNAcentral.